RNAcentral lists this ribosomal RNA (338 nucleotides) under Salmonella enterica. RNAcentral describes it as "bacterial SSU rRNA". It matches the Rfam family "Bacterial small subunit ribosomal RNA", at positions 1 to 335 of the family's 1533-position model. RNAcentral also lists the same sequence under 2 other names. The record is from RNAcentral. Lineage: Bacteria; Pseudomonadati; Pseudomonadota; Gammaproteobacteria; Enterobacterales; Enterobacteriaceae.
AAAUUGAAGAGUUUGAUCAUGGCUCAGAUUGAACGCUGGCGGCAGGCCUAACACAUGCAAGUCGAACGGUAACAGGAAGCAGCUUGCUGCUUUGCUGACGAGUGGCGGACGGGUGAGUAAUGUCUGGGAAACUGCCUGAUGGAGGGGGAUAACUACUGGAAACGGUGGCUAAUACCGCAUAACGUCGCAAGACCAAAGAGGGGGACCUUCGGGCCUCUUGCCAUCAGAUGUGCCCAGAUGGGAUUAGCUUGUUGGUGAGGUAACGGCUCACCAAGGCGACGAUCCCUAGCUGGUCUGAGAGGAUGACCAGCCACACUGGAACUGAGACACGGUCCAGA